Molecule: ribosomal RNA, 304 nt
Filed under: uncultured bacterium
Lineage: Bacteria
Description: partial 16S ribosomal RNA
Rfam family: Bacterial small subunit ribosomal RNA
Source: RNAcentral
CAGCAGCCGCCGCGGGAAUACGUAGGGUGCAAGCGUUAAUCGGAAUUACUGGGCGUAAAGCGUGCGCAGGCGGUUUGUUAAGACAGAUGUGAAAUCCCCGGGCUCAACCUGGGAACUGCAUUUGUGACUGGCAGGCUAGAGUAUGGCAGAGGGGGGUGGAAUUCCGCGUGUAGCAGUGAAAUGCGUAGAUAUGCGGAGGAACACCGAUGGCGAAGGCAGCCCCCUGGGCCAAUACUGACGCUCAUGCACGAAAGCGUGGGGAGCAAACAGGAUUAGAUACCCCAGUAGUCCCUGUCUCUUAUAC